Molecule: ribosomal RNA, 492 nt
Filed under: uncultured bacterium
Lineage: Bacteria
Description: partial 16S ribosomal RNA
Rfam family: Bacterial small subunit ribosomal RNA
Source: RNAcentral
AGUGAACGCUGGCGAUAGGCCUAACACAUGCAAGUCGAACGGCAGCACAGUAAGAGCUUGCUCUUACGGGUGGCGAGUGGCGGGCGGGUGAGGAAUACAUCGGAAUCUACUUUUUCGUGGGGGAUAACGUAGGGAAACUUACGCUAAUACCGCAUACGACCUACGGGUGAAAGCAGGGGAUCUUCGGACCUUGCGCGAUUGAAUGAGCCGAUGUCGGAUUAGCUAGUUGGCGGGGUAAAGGCCCACCAAGGCGACGAUCCGUAGCUGGUCUGAGAGGAUGAUGAGCCACAGUGGAACUGAGACACGGGCAAGACUCCUACGGGAGGCAGCAGUGGGGAAUAUUGGACAAUGGGCGCAAGCCUGAUCCAGCCAUACCGCGUGGGUGAAGAAGGCCUUCGGGUUGUAAAGCCCUUUUGCUGGGAAAGAAAAGCAGCAGGUUAAUACCCCGCUGUGCUGACGGUACCCAAAGAAUAAGCACCGGCUAACUUCGUG